AGAGAGGUGUCCGAGUGGUUGAAGGAGCUACCCUGGAAAGGUAGUAUAUGGGUAACUGUAUCGAGGGUUCGAAUCCCUUCCUCUCUG
This 87-nucleotide transfer RNA is filed under the name Kaistella pullorum. RNAcentral's name for it is "Weeksellaceae bacterium Sa1CVA4 tRNA-Ser". It matches the Rfam family "tRNA". Rfam says of the family: Transfer RNA (tRNA) molecules are approximately 80 nucleotides in length. The record is from RNAcentral. Lineage: Bacteria; Pseudomonadati; Bacteroidota; Flavobacteriia; Flavobacteriales; Weeksellaceae.